This 400-nucleotide unclassified non-coding RNA is filed under the name soil metagenome. RNAcentral's name for it is "partial contains 5.8S ribosomal RNA, internal transcribed spacer 2, and large subunit ribosomal RNA". The stretch from base 1 to 122 matches the Rfam family "5.8S ribosomal RNA", at positions 35 to 154 of the family's 154-position model. The record is from RNAcentral.
GAUGAAGAACGUAGCGAAAUGCGAUACUUGGUGUGAAUUGCAGAAUCCAGUGAACCAUCGAGUCUUUGAACGCAAGUUGCGCCUCAAGCCAUUAGGUUGAGGGCACGUCUGCCUGGGCGUCACAUAUCGUUGCCUGAUGCCAGUUUCCUCGUGAUGGGUGACUGUGCAGGGCGAAUGAUGGCUUCCCGUGAGCAUUGUUGCCUCAUGGUUGGUUGAAAAUUGAGUCCUUGGUAGGGAGCGCCGUGAUAGAUGGUGGUUGAGUGACGAACGAGACCCAAUCAUGUGAGACCCCUACCGAAUUUGGCCUUCAUGACCCACAUGCGUCUUUGGAACGCUCAUGACGAGACCUCAGGUCAGGCGGGGCUACCCGCUGAGUUUAAGCAUAUCAAUAAGCGGAGGA